RNAcentral lists this ribosomal RNA (380 nucleotides) under uncultured eukaryote. RNAcentral's name for it is "partial 18S ribosomal RNA". It matches the Rfam family "Eukaryotic small subunit ribosomal RNA", at positions 592 to 976 of the family's 1831-position model. The record is from RNAcentral.
CAAUAGCGUAUAUUAAAGUUGUUGCGGUUAAAAAGCUCGUAGUUGGAUUUCUGUUGGGAACGACCGGUCCGCCCAUUGGGUGUGUAUCUGGCUUGUUCUCGGCAUCUUCUUGGUGAACGUUGCUGCACUUGACUGUGUGGAGCGCUACCCAGGACUUUUACUUUGAGGAAAUUAGAGUGUUUCAAGCAGGCAUAUGCCUUGAAUACAUUAGCAUGGAAUAAUAAGAUAGGACCUCGGUUCUAUUUUGUUGGUUUCUAGAGCUGGGGUAAUGAUUAAUAGGGAUAGUUGGGGGCAUUCGUAUUUAACUGUCAGAGGUGAAAUUCUUGGAUUUGUUAAAGACGGCCUACUGCGAAAGCAUUUGCCAAGGAUGUUUUCAUUGA